Molecule: long non-coding RNA, 2265 nt
Filed under: Equus asinus (donkey)
Lineage: Eukaryota; Metazoa; Chordata; Mammalia; Perissodactyla; Equidae
Description: lncRNA (ENSEASG00005025987.1)
Source: RNAcentral
CCCCCCCUGAGCGGGUCCCGGGCCAUGGCCGGGCCGCCCCCCGGCCCCGCUCCUCCCGUGCCGCCGCCGCCCUAGGCCGCGCCGCGAGCGCAUCUGAGGCUCGGAAAGGUGAGGUGGUUUCCUCAAGGCCCCCAGCCCACCCUGGAGGAGGCGAGAACUUGGCCCCUUCAGCUUCCUGCCGGCCGCAGGCCGUUGAAUCAGCGGACUCUGAACUUCUUGGAAAACAGCUUUCUGCAGGUGAAUGCAGGAUGGGGCACAGUCCCGUCUCGGGCUGUUGAGAGCUGUGGGACGAUAACUCUGAUUCGUUCCACAGGGCUGUGAGCGCCAACUACAUGCCAAGCGCGGGAGUCCCCUGCCUCCUCGAGCAGGCAGAGAUGACGCAGAUGUGGAAACAGAGGCCCAGAGAGGCUUAAAGCUUGCCCAGGGUCACACAGCCCUAACACUGCAGAACUGACACUUGAGUCCAGAGAAGAGCAAGUCGAGACCACAGCUGGGCAGAGGCCGGCGAGGUGAGUGGUGGCCUGAGAGGCAGGAGGGAAAUGGGGCGAGUAGGGUGGGUGGUUCCUGAGGGAAACGGGGCCAGGUUCACCUGGGAGUUGUUGUGGCGGGGAGGGAAUGCAUGAGUCCCAUUUUGCAGAGAGAGAAACUCAGGCUCAGAGAGGGGCAGCCCGUGUCUGAAGUCACACAGCUCAGGGAGGCAGAGCAGGGAUUAAAGACCCUGAGCCUUCAUGGGCUCUGGCCUUGUCCUGGCUGCUAGGUCAGGACAGGCUGAUCUCCACUACUAAAUCACGGCUCAUGUUGCCUCUUCCAGGAAGCCUUUCUUGACUGACUAGGCAAGUGAGAUGAGGGAGCAAUCGCCCCCUCUGCCCUGGGUCAGGUUGCCUGGCUGGGCCCCCUGUGACCUGCCGCUCCCAGGAGAGCCACCACCCAUACCUCAUUCCUCCAAGGCCUGAGUAAGGCACCACGCAAGCUGGGAAAGAACAUUAAUUGAGCGCCUACUGCAUUCUAGCUGCUUGACCUACUUUGCCUCUUGAGAAAUGUAGCUACUGUCCUAUGUAGAGUGGGGUUGUGAGGCAGGAGCACGAGGUGGGUCCUCAAAGUGGCCAUGCAAAACCCCAGGGGAAGGUGUGGCCACAUUGGACACCCUGUACCACCUCCCGACAAGUCCUGCCUGGCCAGUGUUGCCCUGGGCAAAGGCGGAUAAAAUCACGGGCCAAGUGCAUAGAUUCCUCAGUGCGCUCCCCAUCCCCUGCCUGUAAGUGUGGGCCCCGCCCUGGGCCCUUUAUCUGGAUUAUUUCAUAACAGUCUUUUCUGUCACUCUGAAUGCAUCCACCACCUCUCCCCUUCCUCACUUGGAUCCAGCCUCACCAGCCUCCUGGCUGUCCCCCAACACCAGCAGCAGGUUCCCACCUCAGGGCCUUUGCACUUGCUGUUCCCUCUGCCUGGCAUGUCCCAGGGGUUCCCUUCCUCACCUCCUGCAGGUCUCUGUUCAGAUGUCACCUUCUCAGUACAGCCUUCUCGACCCCCCUGUUGAAAUCAAACACUUCUCUUGUCCCAGCACUCCUGACCCCCUCCCUGUCAGACUUUCCACAGCACGUAAGACCAUCUGGCAGAUGUAUUUCAUCUGUUUGUUAACUGUCUGCUCCGUUCACCUGCACUGGCACGUGAGCACCACGAGCGACCUCCCCGUUUUCUUUACUGCUGUAUUCCCAGUGCCUGGCAUGCAGUAGGUGCUUAAUAAAUGUUUGAUGAAUGAAGGCCCUCCAAUCCUCUGAAGUGGGGUCUGUUCACACCCACAUUUCAUGGGGGCCGUCAGAGCUGAGCUAGGAAAUCAGCAGAGCUGGCACCCGCUGGGGACCACCGAAGGGCAGCGGGUCUGGUCCCGGGGAUGAUGGAAACAGCUGCCUGGAAUGAGGCCUGGCUUUGAACGUCAGCUGCGCCCAACGAGCUUGGUGGCCCUGGGCGAGUCUCUAACCUCUCUGUGCUGUCUCUCCAUCUGUCACGUGCGGUCACGCCAGUCCCUGCCAGCUUGGCUUGGCCGCCAGAUUAAGCGAGGGGAGAUGCACGAGAUGGGGGGCACGCAGUGGGGAGGAGCCCCCAACAGUAUUGGGGCGGGAGGACAGCAGGAGGGGCAGGAGCCUGGCCUCUGGGGCCGGUCCCACGGGGCUUCGGUCCUGGCUCUGCUCCUGCAGGGCCGCGUGCGUGAGCCUGGGCGGGGCCCUGGAGCGCUUUGAGCCUCAGUUUCCCCCCCACCGCCCGCGGAAG